This is a non-coding RNA of Myotis lucifugus (little brown bat), 74 nucleotides long. The record is from Rfam. NCBI's taxonomy places the organism in Eukaryota, Metazoa, Chordata, Mammalia, Chiroptera, Vespertilionidae.
GGUGGUUCUCGGUUGUCGCACCCAAGAAUCAGGCUCCCUCCUCUCUGGUUCUGGUGCGUCAUCCGAGAACCGCU